UGGAACAUCGUUGCCAAUUUAGUGGAGCAUGACACAUACGGCGAUGCCUUUACAAACUGUUUCCAUGAAUUCUAGCCGUUAUAAUAAUGCAAGAAUGAUGAAAUUGAUCUAAUAUUUAUGUAUAUGAAUAAGAAAAAGAUACGACAAAUUCACUUAUUUCCACGGUUUUGUGUAAGUCUUAUGAUCACCAGUUUAGAGGGAAAACACAUAACAAUUGUCAACAGUGCAUGAGGUGCACCCGCUAUACUCUGUUUUUUUUUUCCAUCUGUCCGUCCGCCUGUGGUGUAUGCGCAUGGUAACACUGCGUCCAGGGCUUUAAAUGAUAUCCUAUUUCGAAUAUUAAUGGUGUAAUUUGCAUAAAGUAAUUUAUUAAAACUUUUCCAGUUGCAAAUUUAAACCCAGAUAUCUUUUUAUUUACCUAAAACUUACACAUAGCGUAACUAUUUAAAAAGCCCGGGACGCAGUGUUACCAUGCGAAAACACCACAGGCAGAUGGACAGAUGGAAAAAAACAGAGUAUAAGUAUACGUAGUCACAUUCGGUUUCGGAAACGUCGCCACUCAUUAGUCCAGUAGCUAGUUUCUCAUGCACUUCCAUUGGUUAUUUAAUCGGAUAUUGGUCUGUUGAGUGUUCUGCUGGUGUUCUUCAUGCUACAUGGUCUUUGAGGACAAGGCAAUACAGGAAUGGUACAGUUGCAGCAAGCAUUGCUCUCAGCCAGAAAUAACAGCAGGAUGUGACUAUCUUAGUGGAAUACAGUAAUACAUCACCUCCUAGCUGUGUAUUUUCCAUCCUCAGUGGCAGUGGCAUUACAACUGCUGUACCACUAGUGACCUGUCCUAGGGAGAAGGUUUGUUAUGCCAUGACAGGUAGGUUAAAAGACCCCCGGCACAUUUAAUCAUCAUAAGAGGAUUGGGCUUGAGAUGAAUUUGACCUUCAUUCUGCUCCUAGUUAAAGAAGCCAGUAAAAGUUUCUUGAAUGUUGGAAACAUCUAUAACUGAAGGUCAUUUAGAAAUUAUGACCAAAAAAUAAUGUUUUUGGACAGUAUUUUAUGGAUGGUCAGCACUCUUAAAAGGGAAAGUAGUGGGAUUCCAGUGAUGUAUGAGGAUCUUAAUCUUGCUAGCUGCAGAAUUUCAUUUUAUUGAGGUUGUUUUCCUCUUCUUGUUGCCCUUGCAAUCCAGUAUAUGACUAAGGUACCAGUUGACUUCUCAGGCUUAAAACUGCUCGGACAGGCAUUUUCAAUUCUCCAUUAUUUUCAUGUUCUGCCCAGCCAUCAUACUUCUCUGUUAUUUUCCAGUUGUGAAAUAUUGCCUUAUUUCUACCUUAGUGUGUUCUCUUCAUUUAUAGUUUUUUGAUGACUCCAUUAACAUGUUCUCCAGUCUUUACCUAGGAUGAUCGUACAAUUUUACCAUGUUAUAAAUAAAAGUUCUUGUUAGCUGUGACAUUACGUUUUCCAUUGAUUCAUCUUGAAAUCAAUAUCCUCCAGUUCAUAUUAACUCAGGCUUUACCCUACAGCAAAAUUCUGAGGCAUAGCUAUUAUUUUUUAAAUAUAUUUCCCAUGCUAUGCUGCUGGUUGUGAGGUCAUUUAGCUUAAAUAAUUGCACCUGAUUUGAUAUCAGCCAAAACUAUUCUUUGGAUCACUUCAUUUGGAGUUACAAAAUCUAAAGGUUUGAACAUUUCUAUGAAUAAUUUUCUCCUUUCACACUUUCUGUUUUUCCUCAUUCACUUCACAUUAGAUUUUAAUCUAAACAUUUUCUUUCAUCGUGUAUUAAUCCAAGUAAAAAUUCUAAAACCUACAUUGAAGACUUCAAAUGGAGUUUCAUAAUUUUAUA
This is a long non-coding RNA of Macrobrachium nipponense, 1828 nucleotides long. RefSeq lists it as uncharacterized. The record is from RefSeq and is a predicted model, not a curated record. The transcript has 3 exons. Lineage: Eukaryota; Metazoa; Arthropoda; Malacostraca; Decapoda; Palaemonidae.